GCCUUGAGUUUUCCCUCCCUCCAGCUGGCCGACUCUGGGAUGCUUCCAGACAGCCUCUCGGAGGUGAGAGAGGAAGGAACAUUAACUCUGCAACUUAGCCCCUCGGAAAAGUGCGUCCACUCACUGGUGACUACCUCGCUUAGCCAUUAAAUGUCAUGGCAGCCCAUGCGCACAGGAAAGAGAAUCUACAUCUGGCAGUAAAAAAAGAAGCAGAGGGGAUGUUUGAGCCACAAGAUGCAAGGAGCCUGGGACCCUAAAUUACCAUGAGGAGAAAGCUGCAUGCCGGCCAGGAAGCCCCACACUGGAUUGUUAUAGAGAAACAUCGGGAAUGACAACACAAUGAGAUCAUGAUAAAAGGAAGCAACUAAACCUGACAGGUCACCUCCUCCUCUCGUUCUAGCAACCCAGCCUCUCAUAAGAACAAGGAAGAGCAAAGUGACAGCUUCCAGAGCAAAGGGGAGACAUCUCGCAGCUCUGAGUAGAUAAGCUUAGUGCUGGCUUCACACGGAGGGGCAAGACUCCGGACUCCGUAGGAUAACAAAGCUUUGUUUCCAAAUCAACUGUGAAUAUGAAGACCGAAGGAGAGCUGAC
This 591-nucleotide long non-coding RNA is filed under the name Equus caballus (horse). RNAcentral's name for it is "lncRNA (ENSECAG00000047066.1)". The record is from RNAcentral. Lineage: Eukaryota; Metazoa; Chordata; Mammalia; Perissodactyla; Equidae.